RNAcentral lists this long non-coding RNA (593 nucleotides) under Fukomys damarensis (Damara mole-rat). RNAcentral's name for it is "lncRNA (ENSFDAG00000025160.1)". The record is from RNAcentral. Lineage: Eukaryota; Metazoa; Chordata; Mammalia; Rodentia; Bathyergidae.
AUGCACCUGGUAAUUUGGUCUCUGCAUAACCAUCCGAUGUCACCUGGAAACUUUCUUUCUCAUUGUUCUUCGGUGGUUUCCUUCUUCCCGAUUCAGAUUCCAGGGACCCGAGUGCAGUGGAACUCCCCUCAUGGACACCAGCCUUCUAAGACCUUAUCAACUUUGCAUCAUAUCAAGAUCCACAAUCUCUGCUUCCCAUCAAGACCCGUGAUAAGAACCCAGGGACCAGGAAGCAGCAGAGAAGUGUUCCUCCCACUUUGUGAUGCUCCAGACAUGAAGAAGAGGUGCGAGAGGGGAUCGUUACUGAUCUGAACAAAGAGCCACCUAUGAGGAAAUCUCAAGUCUCUUUGACUUCCCUACCACAUCUGCAACUGCCAGUAAUGCAGCACCAUCGGCACCAAAGUCAUCAGUGACGCCAUCCGUACCACCAGCAUCACCACCAGAACUACUAGGAUCACCUCUUCCUCCUCUUUAUCUUCAUCCUCAUAGUACUAGCAUCACCACCACCACCACCACCACCAUCACCAUCACCAAAACCUAAGCACUAUCUUUAUUCCCAUCAGUACACUGUCAUCAGUCUUCAACCUCACCAG